This is a long non-coding RNA of Nasonia vitripennis (jewel wasp), 1779 nucleotides long. RefSeq lists it as uncharacterized. NCBI's taxonomy places the organism in Eukaryota, Metazoa, Arthropoda, Insecta, Hymenoptera, Pteromalidae. The transcript is spliced from 2 exons. The record is from RefSeq and is a predicted model, not a curated record.
CCAAAUUUUUUAAAUUCUCCAACAUUUGUUCAACUAGUUCCUGAUUGAUUAUUCGAAUUCAGUGACCCAAAAAACAUAAAGAUAGAUAGGUCUGAUUUCUCGCGCAGACAACUUUUUUUAUUUUGUGUGCUGGUGUAAUUGUCAGAAUGAACAUAUUGUAUCGGAAACACUCCAUCGGUAUUCAUCAACGUAUUAGUUCAGAAAGUUAUCGAACCACCAAUUACAGUUAAGAAUAAUCAAGAAAUACUUCGCCAAAGUAUUUUAAUCGAAAUUGAAUAUGAAACAAUAUUUAUAGAUAUUUAAUUAUUACGUUGAGAUAUAAUUCAGCGUCAUAUGCCAACUGCAGUGGACGAUGAUAGGGACAUGGACUGUUGCACACAGCACUCAACGUCAUCCUUGAUGUCCGCAAACUUUACGCUCGGUGGUAUAAUAUAAUUAAUGUUUUUGGAGAGCAUCAACUGAGUAAGUAAAAACAAAAGUUGAAACAGAAGCUUGGGAUAUGUAAAAAAUAACCACGGCGUUUAAUCAUGUUUGGAAUUUUAUUAUUACCUAGCUUUGACUACACAAUUUACUUUCAUGUAUCACUUAUUUUUAAAAUAUAGUAUUUGUGUUUAUGUCGCUUAAGCAAAUUGAAACGUUUGUAGUAGUAGAGAAAAAAAGUAAAUUAGAAUAAUCUACUUUUAAAUUAAAGUGUGUACAAAAAUUAACCUUCAAUGUUUUUUAAAAAGUACCUUUGAAAAUUCAGUAUAGUCACCUGCACAGCAACUGGAUAAUAUUGCCCUCUAUUCAUUGUCAUCAGCUCCAGAUUGUGUAUCACAACUUCAUUCUUGGACUUCUUUUCAUCGAUUUUUCCAAACGCAUAGUCUUUUUCGUAUAUGCGCAGACACAAGUUCACAUAUAAUAGUAAUUUAAACUGUUGAGUCAAACAGAACGUAAACUCUAAUGCUCGAUAUUGCUCGAACGUAAGGCAUCGAGAAUUCCUAUGCAAGUAUGUAAAAUGUAUUUGACAAAGGAUAGCUAGAAAUGUCAAUUCUAUGAUAGUUACUAAAUUUUAGACAGGCAUAAUAAACAUUUAUUCGUAUCAUAUAGAAAUAAUUUAGCAAAUUUGUAGAAUUAUUCAAAUAGCAUAUAAACUGAAAUCGAUAUUCAUGCAUGCCAAUUGACCACUUACAAUUUAGUAUAUUAUAAAAAUAAUUUUUUGUAGAAUACUAAAAUUCAUAUCAUUUCAGAUAUUUCAGAUAUUAUUUGUAAGAUUUUUUACGAGUCGUGAUCGAUUUUAUUUCCUUUUAAUUCUUACCCUGGUAGAAAUGACCCUAAGAACUGGCCAGUUACUAGCCUGUUCUUAGACUCAUUUCUACCAGGGUUAAGUAAAUAAAAUAAAUCAGUAGAAAUAAGUAUAUAAAUCUCUUGGUUACCGCUCUCCGUUCUUUAGCUUUGUUAAGUUCUCUUGAAAGUUCAGUAGCCAUUUGCACAACAACCGGAUCGCAUUGUGUACUAUUCAAUUGUGACACCUGUUCCACAUUAUGUACCAGAGCAUCAUUCUUGCACAUGUGUCGCACCAUGUUAUCAAACGGAUCUUCGUGUCUUCGAUGGCCCAUUUUGUUUGGAAAUUCUUAUUUCAUAAAAAAACCAGACAGAAGUAUCGAGCUUUGGAGACUCGGCGCCGUUAUUCCGUAAUACGAAACCCUUCAGCAAGUAGAUGACGCAUGACGCUUGCGCAGACUUCCCUUAAACAGUAUCGGUGUUGGUAGUUGUGAUAAAGAAUUUGUGCCUGAAGAG